UGUCUCAGAUGGUAUAGAAUCUGCCUGUGAUGCAGGAGACCCAGGUUUGAUCCCUGG
RNAcentral lists this transfer RNA (57 nucleotides) under Bos taurus (domestic cattle). It matches the Rfam family "tRNA", at positions 8 to 63 of the family's 71-position model. From Rfam's summary of the family: Transfer RNA (tRNA) molecules are approximately 80 nucleotides in length. Their secondary structure includes four short double-helical elements and three loops (D, anti-codon, and T loops). Further hydrogen bonds mediate the characteristic L-shaped molecular structure. tRNAs have two regions of fundamental functional importance: the anti-codon, which is responsible for specific mRNA codon recognition, and the 3' end, to which the tRNAs corresponding amino acid is attached (by aminoacyl-tRNA synthetases). tRNAs cope with the degeneracy of the genetic code in two manners: having more than one tRNA (with a specific anti-codon) for a particular amino acid; and 'wobble' base-pairing, i.e. permitting non-standard base-pairing at the 3rd anti-codon position. Lineage: Eukaryota; Metazoa; Chordata; Mammalia; Artiodactyla; Bovidae. RNAcentral also lists the same sequence under 4 other names. The record is from Rfam by way of RNAcentral.